RNAcentral lists this long non-coding RNA (1020 nucleotides) under Felis catus (domestic cat). Its description in RNAcentral is "lncRNA (ENSFCAG00000053375.1)". The record is from RNAcentral. Lineage: Eukaryota; Metazoa; Chordata; Mammalia; Carnivora; Felidae.
AUGGGACGGGGCGGGUCUCAGGGUGUCCAGCGAUCCCGAGGGGGGCACCAGGGGGCCUGGGUCGGGGAGAGGGCAACAGCUGGAGAGGGAGAGCCAGGCCCCAAGCCGGGUGUCCGGGGGCCGGGAGGGGGGGCGGCCUUCCCGGAGCGGGGCCUCACCCCCACCUCGCGGCGGCCGGGCGGGCGCCCCCCGGGGCUGGGCGCUGGGUCCCCGGCGCGCGUCGAGGCUGCACCUGGAGCGCGCCGGGCCGCGCCGCCGGCGCGUCCUCUUCGUCCUCGUCCUCGUCCUCCGCGUCCGCGUCCCCUGGGGCGCCGGCCUCGCCGUCCUCGUCGCCCCCAGCGCUCGCGCCCUCGCCGUCCUCGUCCUCGUCCUCCUCCCAGGUCGAGUCGCAGUCCGGGUCGUCCAUGCUCGGGCGGCGGCGGGACCCGCGCUCCGGCGGAAGCGAAAGUAUGUCCCUGGAGGAUGCUCAUCCCAGAGAAUCACCCCAGAAUGCCCCUGAGGACAACCUCCCCCCAGAGGAAGACGCCUACCUGCUGGAAACCCCCUCCUCCAGAAUAUCCCUCUUCCCAGAGGAUGUUCUCCUGGAGGAAGUCUACCCACCCCCUGGAGGAUGCCCACAGGAGGAUGUCCCUCCACAGGGCUGACCCCAGGAGCAUAACCCCUGGGAGCUGUCCUCCCCAGAAGGGAGGCCCCCCCAGGAUGCGCCCACGCGGGAUGCCCUCCAGGUGUAGGCUGGGGCUGUGGUCUCAUGAGAGGCUCCUCUGGAGAGCAGUCUGCUUCCACGGUCCCCCAGACUGUGGGCAGAAGUCAUUCUCGGGCGGUGGGACACGGAUCCUCGUGUCCCUUCACAGACGGUUCACAACUGGGCAGUUUGCUUCCAUAAGGCCAGCAGGAGGGUCUCUUUCCAGUGUGCCGGGAGUCGUCUGCACCGUCACCGUGGGCCUGGCCUCUGCCCCUUUGCCACAUCCUAUCAGCGUCUCACCUGGCUGGAGCCUGUGUACACACGACCUCACUCUCUAA